Molecule: ribosomal RNA, 468 nt
Filed under: uncultured bacterium
Lineage: Bacteria
Description: partial 16S ribosomal RNA
Rfam family: Bacterial small subunit ribosomal RNA
Source: RNAcentral
GACGAACGCUGGCGGCGUGCUUAACACAUGCAAGUCGAACGGAAAGGCCCUGCCUUUUUGGGGUGCUCGAGUUGCGAACGGGUGAGUAACACGUGAGUAACGUGCCCUUGACUUUGGGAUAACUUCAGGAAACUGGGGCUAAUACCGGAUAGGAGCUCCUGCUGCAUGGUGGGGGUGGGAAAGUUUCGGCGGUUGGUGUUGGACGCGCGGCUCAUGAGCUUGUUGGUGGGGUAGUGGCUUACCAAGGCUUUGACGGGUAGCCGGCCUGAGAGGGUGACCGGCCACAUUGGGACUGAGAUGCGGCCCAGACUCGUCCGGGAGGCAGCAGUGGGGAAUAGUGCACAAUGGGCGGAAGGCUGAUGCAGCAAAGCCGCGUGGGGGGUGACGGCCUUCGGGUUGUAAACCGCUUUCGCCUGUGACGAAGCGUGAGUGACGGUAAUGGGUAAAGAAGCACCGGCUAACUACGUG